GCAGUCGAGGGGCAGCAUUUCAGUUUGCUUGCAACUGGAGAUGGCGACCUGCGCACGGGUGAGUAACACGUAUCCAACCUGCCGAUAACUCGGGGAUAGCCUUUCGAAAGAAAGAUUAAUACCCGAUGGUAUAAUUAGACCGCAUGGUCUUGUUAUUAAAGAAUUUCGGUUAUCGAUGGGGAUGCGUUCCAUUAGGCAGUUGGUGAGGUAACGGCUCACCAAACCUUCGAUGGAUAGGGGUUCUGAGAGGAAGGUCCCCCACAUUGGAACUGAGACACGGUCCAAACUCCUACGGGAGGCAGCAGUGAGGAAUAUUGGUCAAUGGGCGCAGGCCUGAACCAGCCAAGUAGCGUGAAGGAUGACUGCCCUAUGGGUUGUAAACUUCUUUUAUAUGGGAAUAAAGUUUUCCACGUGUGGAAUUUUGUAUGUACCAUAUGAAUAAGGAUCGGCUAACUCCGUGCCAGCAGCCGCGGUAAUACGGAGGAUCCGAGCGUUAUCCGGAUUUAUUGGGUUUAAAGGGA
This 521-nucleotide ribosomal RNA is filed under the name Bacteroides sp. HGA0073. Its description in RNAcentral is "bacterial SSU rRNA". It matches the Rfam family "Bacterial small subunit ribosomal RNA", at positions 57 to 568 of the family's 1533-position model. Lineage: Bacteria; Pseudomonadati; Bacteroidota; Bacteroidia; Bacteroidales; Bacteroidaceae. The record is from RNAcentral.